AACGCGAAGAACCUUACCGGGGUUUGAACAGUACGGGACAGCUACAGAGAUGUAGUUUUCCUUCGGGACCCGUAUAGAGGUGCUGCAUGGCUGUCGUCAGCUCGUGUCGUGAGAUGUUGGGUUAAGUCCCGCAACGAGCGCAACCCUUGCCUCCUGUUGCCAACAGGUAAAGCUGGGCACUCUGGAGAGACUGCCGGUAGAACGUAACGGAGGAGGG
Molecule: ribosomal RNA, 217 nt
Filed under: uncultured bacterium
Lineage: Bacteria
Description: partial 16S ribosomal RNA
Rfam family: Bacterial small subunit ribosomal RNA
Source: RNAcentral